CCAAUAGCGUAUAUUAAGGUUGUUGCAGUUAAAAAGCUCGUAGUUGAAUUUCGGGAUUGACACAUCGGUCGUGCCUUAAGGGGUGUGAACUGGUGUAGUCAAUUUCUCACCUUCUGGAGAACCGCGAUGUCCUUAAUUGGGUGCCGCGAGGAACCAGGACCUUUACUUUGAAAAAAUUAGAGUGUUUAAAGCAGGCAUUUUUGCUUGAAUACAUUAGCAUGGAAUAAUAAAAUAGGACGGCAUGAUUCUAUUUUGUUGGUUUCUAGGAUCACCGUAAUGAUUAAUAGGGAUAGUUGGAGGCAUUAGUAUUCAAUUGUCAGAGGUGAAAUUCUUGGAUUUAUUGAAGACUAACUACUGCGAAAGCAUUUGCCAAGGAUGUUUUCAUUAAUCAAGAACGAAAGUUAGGGGAUCGAAGACGAUCAGAUACCGUCGUAGUCUUAACCAUAAACUAUGCCGACUAGGAAUCAGACGAUGUUAAUUUUUUAAUGACUCGUUUGGCACCUUACG
Molecule: ribosomal RNA, 507 nt
Filed under: uncultured Glomeromycotina
Lineage: Eukaryota; Fungi; Glomeromycota
Description: partial small subunit ribosomal RNA
Rfam family: Eukaryotic small subunit ribosomal RNA
Source: RNAcentral